UGGUUAGAACUGAGGAGGCCCUACCAGCAGGCAAAAGUCAGGCCUUGUCCAGCAAUGGAGGUACAUGCACCUCUGCACCAGAUGCUCCUGCCUUUUUCUUUCGUAAUUUUGAAGGACCUCAGCUCCCUGCCUCCUAGAUUUUUGCUACUAUGGUCUCAGAGCUGUGUAAUUUGGAUGACUGAGAUGGAAAAACCUCUGGAAAACCUUUAUUUAUGUUGAAUAAGUAUUCCUUGAAUCCUUCCUCAGCAUCCUGGGUUAUAUUUGAUUUGCUCUGCUCAUGAUAACUUCAUGCCAAGGAGACUGCUAUCAGUUCUCUUAAAACAGAUCCCAACUCCCUGCUCAUAGUGGCCAAAGGAAUGGAGAUUUCAGGCUGAGUUUACUUACGUGCAUCAUCUUCAUCUAUCCAGAAGCAUCCCUGCACAAAACCUCUGUUUCUACCCUUCCAUUCACUCGGCUCACUUUUCUGCUCUUAGUACCCUUUGUUUCUUGUGAACUCUCCAGCAGGAGUGACUUGCAAUUUGUAUCCACUGACACUUAAGUUCUCGGAAGUGCUGGAGAAGUGUAUGGAAGUAAAUUAUCCUGAUGUAUAAUUUUGUGCAUGUGAAACUCACCGUGGAAGUGCCUAUCUAAUUUCAGUAUGGAACACAGCUAAACAUUUGGAUCAAUAAUCCAGUUUUGAAACCACACUUCAUUUAAAGUACAAUGUGCUGAAAAAAAUGAAAAAAGGGUGCUUUCAAAUUUGUACUUAGUAAACUUUCACUAGAUCACAUCA
Homo sapiens (human) is the source of this 772-nucleotide long non-coding RNA. NCBI's taxonomy places the organism in Eukaryota, Metazoa, Chordata, Mammalia, Primates, Hominidae. The record is from Ensembl.